UCACUUUUUAUUCUUCAAACAUUUUAACAACAAUAACAAGCAAUCAAUAUUUAAACAAUGACAACAUUAAAUAAAACCAUUAUUUUGUCAAAGCAAAUAGACGAAGCAUUAUGAAGGCAAGGCGCUACAUAUAUUUCUUUGUGGCAUAUAAGCAUAUCAUAUUUACACUGCAGCAGUUUAAAGAGAACUAAAUUACGAGGUUUGACAAAUUUAACGAUCGCUUUGAUAGUCCCAUAAAUAUAUUUUAUUGAUCUAUUAAAUUGUUCAUAUAAGGACAACUGAAAGAAUUGCAUGUCAGUAGGCCUGAAUACAAUAGUAUUUUUACUUGCAUAGAUUUUUCAUGAUGAAAUUGUGUUGUUUAAUAUAUAAGUACUUCAAAUUUUAAAUUUUGAUUGCAAUUUUCUCUUGAAUAGUAUUUGAUUGAUACGUGAUAUUGAGAUCUAAAGUUUUUGUACAUGUAAAUGAACACAAAGAUUUUUAGAAAUCAACUGUUCCUAUUCUGAAAAACUGAAAGGACAGCAUAUGUUUCCUCCUUGCCAUCAGGAGAUAUGACGAUUUGUUCUCCCUCGAAUAUUUCAUAUUUGAUGACUUUUCGAUGGUGCGCAAAUCUUCAUAUCUCCCUACAGCUAACUCAAGAGAAUGAUUUUUUUU
Molecule: long non-coding RNA, 651 nt
Filed under: Mytilus galloprovincialis (Mediterranean mussel)
Lineage: Eukaryota; Metazoa; Mollusca; Bivalvia; Mytilida; Mytilidae
Source: RNAcentral